Molecule: ribosomal RNA, 253 nt
Filed under: uncultured bacterium
Lineage: Bacteria
Description: partial 16S ribosomal RNA
Rfam family: Bacterial small subunit ribosomal RNA
Source: RNAcentral
UACGUAGGGGGCAAGCGUUGUCCGGAAUCAUUGGGCGUAAAGAGCGCGUAGGCGGCCCAGUAAGUCCGCUCUGAAAGUCAGGGGCUCAACCCCUGGAUACGGGUGGAUACUGUCGGGCUAGAGUCCGGAAGAGGCGAGUGGAAUUCCUGGUGUAGCGGUGGAAUGCGCAGAUAUCAGGAGGAACACCGAUAGCGAAGGCAGCUCGCUGGGACGGUACUGACGCUGAGGCGCGAAAGCGUGGGGAGCGAACAGG